GCCGGGUAGGCAGAGUGGACUAUUGCGCGGGCCUUGAGAGCCCGUGGCCGUUCUACGGCCUCGUCGGUUCGAAUCCGGCUCCCGGCG
Molecule: transfer RNA, 87 nt
Filed under: Nitrososphaerota archaeon
Lineage: Archaea; Thermoproteati; Nitrososphaerota
Description: tRNA-Ser
Rfam family: tRNA
About the family: Transfer RNA (tRNA) molecules are approximately 80 nucleotides in length.
Source: RNAcentral